UGGGGAAUUUUGGACAAUGGGGGAAACCCUGAUCCAGCCAUCCCGCGUGUGCGAUGAAGGCCUUCGGGUUGUAAAGCACUUUUGGCAGGAAAGAAACGUCGCGGGUUAAUACCCCGCGAAACUGACGGUACCUGCAGAAUAAGCACCGGCUAACUACGUGCCAGCAGCCGCGGUAAUACGUAGGGUGCAAGCGUUAAUCGGAAUUACUGGGCGUAAAGCGUGCGCAGGCGGUUCGGAAAGAAAGAUGUGAAAUCCCAGAGCUUAGCUUUGGAACUGCAUUUUUAACUACCGGGCUAGAGUGUGUCAGAGGGAGGUGGAAUUCCGCGUGUAGCAGUGAAAUGCGUAGAUAUGCGGAGGAACACCGAUGGCGAAGGCAGCCUCCUGGGAUAACACUGACGCUCAUGCACGAAAGCGUGGGGAGCAAACAGGAUUAGAUACCCUGGUAGUCCACGCCCUAAACGAUGUCAACUAGCUGUUGGGGGCCUUCGGGCCUUGGUAGCGCAGCUAACGCGUGAAGUUGACCGCCUGGGGAGUACGGUCGCAAGAUUAAAACUCAAAUGAAUUGACGGGGUCAUAGCUGUUUCCUG
RNAcentral lists this ribosomal RNA (587 nucleotides) under uncultured bacterium. RNAcentral's name for it is "partial 16S ribosomal RNA". It matches the Rfam family "Bacterial small subunit ribosomal RNA", at positions 355 to 1376 of the family's 1533-position model. The record is from RNAcentral.